UGGGGAAUUUUGGACAAUGGGGGCAACCCUGAUCCAGCAAUGCCGCGUGUGUGAAGAAGGCCUUCGGGUUGUAAAGCACUUUUGUCCGGGAAGAAAUCGCACCUGAUAAUACCGGGUGUGGAUGACGGUACCGGAAGAAUAAGGACCGGCUAACUACGUGCCAGCAGCCGCGGUAAUACGUAGGGUCCAAGCGUUAAUCGGAAUUACUGGGCGUAAAGCGUGCGCAGGCGGUUGUGCAAGACCGAUGUGAAAUCCCCGGGCUUAACCUGGGAAUUGCAUUGGUGACUGCACGGCUAGAGUGUGUCAGAGGGGGGUAGAAUUCCACGUGUAGCAGUGAAAUGCGUAGAGAUGUGGAGGAAUACCGAUGGCGAAGGCAGCCCCCUGGGAUAACACAGACGCUCAUGCACGAAAGCGUGGGGAGCAAACAGG
RNAcentral lists this ribosomal RNA (429 nucleotides) under Bacillota bacterium. Its description in RNAcentral is "Firmicutes bacterium partial 16S ribosomal RNA". It matches the Rfam family "Bacterial small subunit ribosomal RNA", at positions 355 to 776 of the family's 1533-position model. Lineage: Bacteria; Bacillati; Bacillota. The record is from RNAcentral.